GACGAACGCUGGCGGCGUGCUUAACACAUGCAAGUCGAACGGUGACGAGGAGCUUGCUCCUCCGAUCAGUGGCGAACGGGUGAGUAACACGUGAGUAACCUGCCCCAGACUCUGGGAUAACAGUUGGAAACAGCUGCUAAUACCGGAUACGAGACGGAGAGGCAUCUCUACCGUCUGGAAAGUUUUUCGGUCUGGGAUGGACUCGCGGCCUAUCAGCUUGUUGGUGAGGUAAUGGCUCACCAAGGCGACGACGGGUAGCCGGCCUGAGAGGGCGACCGGCCACACUGGGACUGAGACACGGCCCAGACUCCUACGGGAGGCAGCAGUGGGGAAUAUUGCGCAAUGGACGGAAGUCUGACGCAGCGACGCCGCGUGAGCGAUGAAGGUCUUCGGAUCGUAAAGCUCUGUCCUUGGGGAAGAAGGCGAAAGCUUGACGGUACCCAAGAAGAAAGCCCCGGCUAACUACGUG
Molecule: ribosomal RNA, 469 nt
Filed under: uncultured bacterium
Lineage: Bacteria
Description: bacterial SSU rRNA
Rfam family: Bacterial small subunit ribosomal RNA
Source: RNAcentral